RNAcentral lists this ribosomal RNA (253 nucleotides) under uncultured bacterium. RNAcentral's name for it is "partial 16S ribosomal RNA". It matches the Rfam family "Bacterial small subunit ribosomal RNA", at positions 524 to 776 of the family's 1533-position model. The record is from RNAcentral.
UACGAAGGGGGCUAGCGUUGCUCGGAAUUACUGGGCGUAAAGCGCGUGUAGGCUGACCGGAAAGUCGGGCGUGAAAUCCCUGAGCUCAACUCAGGAACUGCACUCGAAACUCUCGGUCUAGAGUGGUGGAGAGGGAAGUGGAAUUCCUGGUGUAGAGGUGAAAUUCGUAGAUAUCAGGAGGAACACCAGUGGCGAAGGCGGCUUCCUGGACACCAACUGACGCUGAGACGCGAAAGCGUGGGGAGCAAACAGG